This 450-nucleotide ribosomal RNA is filed under the name uncultured bacterium. Its description in RNAcentral is "bacterial SSU rRNA". It matches the Rfam family "Bacterial small subunit ribosomal RNA", at positions 354 to 796 of the family's 1533-position model. The record is from RNAcentral.
GUGGGGAAUAUUGGACAAUGGGCGAAAGCCUGAUCCAGCCAUGCCGCGUGUGUGAAGAAGGUCUUCGGAUUGUAAAGCACUUUAAGUUGGGAGGAAGGGUAGUAACCUAAUACGUUGCUACUUUGACGUUACCGACAGAAUAAGCACCGGCUAACUUCGUGCCAGCAGCCGCGGUAAUACGAAGGGUGCAAGCGUUAAUCGGAAUUACUGGGCGUAAAGCGCGCGUAGGUGGUUUUGUAAGUUGGAGGUGAAAUCCCCGGGCUCAACCUGGGAACUGCCUCCAAAACUGCAUGACUAGAGUACGGUAGAGGGUAGUGGAAUUUCCUGUGUAGCGGUGAAAUGCGUAGAUAUAGGAAGGAACACCAGUGGCGAAGGCGACUACCUGGACUGAUACUGACACUGAGGUGCGAAAGCGUGGGGAGCAAACAGGAUUAGAAACCCCGGUAGUCC